GACGAACGCUGGCGGCGUGCUUAACACAUGCAAGUCGAGCGGAGCGGCGAACGGGUGAGUAACGCGUGAGUAAUUGCCCCCCUCUCUGGGAUAACAGCUGGAAACGGCUGCAAAUACAGGAUAGUGGGGGAUGACCCGCGGACUAUCGGCUUGUGGGUGGGGUAGUGGCCUACCAAGGCGAGGACGGGUAGCCGGCCUGAGAGGGCGACCGGCCACAUUGGGCGGAGAUACGGCCCAAACUCCAACGGGAGGCAGCAGUGGGGAAUAUUGCACAAUGGGGCACACCCUGAUGCAGCAACGCCGCGUGCGGGAUGACGGCCUUCGGGUUGUAAACCGCUUUCAGCCAUGACGCGGUAGUGGCAGAAGAAGCACCGGCUAACUACGUGCCAGCAGCCGCGGUAAUAC
Molecule: ribosomal RNA, 405 nt
Filed under: uncultured bacterium
Lineage: Bacteria
Description: partial 16S ribosomal RNA
Rfam family: Bacterial small subunit ribosomal RNA
Source: RNAcentral